Molecule: ribosomal RNA, 487 nt
Filed under: uncultured bacterium
Lineage: Bacteria
Description: partial 16S ribosomal RNA
Rfam family: Bacterial small subunit ribosomal RNA
Source: RNAcentral
GACGAACGCUGGCGGCGUGCUUAACACAUGCAAGUCGAACGCGCCUGUCCUCUGGGUUUCUGGGGGGUGGGUGAGUGGCGAACGGGUGAGUAACACGUGAGUAACCUGCCCCUUCUUCGGGAUAACGGUCUGAAAGGGCUGCUAAUACCGGGUAUUCACUGGUCUCCGCAUGGGGUCUGGUGGAAAGGUUUUUUUCGGGUGGGGGAUGGGCUCGCGGCCUAUCAGCUUGUUGGUGGGGUGAUGGCCCACCAAGGCUUUGACGGGUAGCCGGCCUGAGAGGGUGACCGGUCACAUUGGGACGGAGAUACGGCCCAGGCUCGUACGGGAGGCAGCAGUGGGGAAUAUUGCAGAAUGGGCGCAAGCCUGAUGCAGCGACGCCGCGUGAGGGAUGGAGGCCUUCGGGUUGUGAACCUCUUUCGCACGUGGUCAAGCCGCGACGUGGGUCGUGGUGAGGGUAGUGGGUAAAGAAGCGCCGGCUAACUACGUG